This 452-nucleotide ribosomal RNA is filed under the name uncultured bacterium. RNAcentral's name for it is "bacterial SSU rRNA". It matches the Rfam family "Bacterial small subunit ribosomal RNA", at positions 328 to 772 of the family's 1533-position model. The record is from RNAcentral.
GCGCCAGACUCCUACGGGAGGCAGCAGUGGGGAAUAUUGCACAAUGGGCGCAAGCCUGAUGCAGCCAUGCCGCGUGUAUGAAGGAGGCCUUCGGGUUGGAAAGUACUUUCAGCGGGGAGGAAGGCGAUAAGGUUAAUAACCUUGUCGAUUGACGUUACCCGCAGAAGAAGCACCGGCUAACUCCGUGCCAGCAGCCGCGGUAAUACGGAGGGUGCAAGCGUUAAUCGGAAUUACUGGGCGUAAAGCGCACGCAGGCGGUUUGUUAAGUCAGAUGUGAAAUCCCCGGGCUCAACCUGGGAACUGCAUCUGAUACUGGCAAGCUUGAGUCUCGUAGAGGGGGGUAGAAUUCCAGGUGUAGCGGUGAAAUGCGUAGAGAUCUGGAGGAAUACCGGUGGCGAAGGCGGCCCCCUGGACGAAGACUGACGCUGAGGUGCGAAAGCGUGGGGAGCAAA